RNAcentral lists this ribosomal RNA (301 nucleotides) under uncultured bacterium. RNAcentral describes it as "partial 16S ribosomal RNA". It matches the Rfam family "Bacterial small subunit ribosomal RNA", at positions 509 to 809 of the family's 1533-position model. The record is from RNAcentral.
CAGCCGCCGCGGUAAUACGGAGGAUCCAAGCGUUAUCCGGAAUCAUUGGGUUUAAAGGGUCCGUAGGCGGUCUUGUAAGUCAGUGGUGAAAGCCCAUCGCUCAACGGUGGAACGGCCAUUGAUACUGCAGGACUUGAAUUAUUGGGAAGUAACUAGAAUAUGUAGUGUAGCGGUGAAAUGCUUAGAGAUUACAUGGAAUACCAAUUGCGAAGGCAGGUUACUACCAAUUGAUUGACGCUGAUGGACGAAAGCGUGGGUAGCGAACAGGAUUAGAUACCCCUGUAGUCCCUGUCUCUUAUAA